UACGUGUGGGGCGAGCGUUGUUCGGAAUUACUGGGCUUAAAGGGUGCGUAGGUGGCCAGUCAAGUCAGUGGUGAAAGUCGUCCGCCCAACGGGCGAAUUGCCAUUGAUACUGCCUGGCUCGAGUGUGCUAGGGGGAUGCGGAACGAGUGGUGUAGCGGUGAAAUGCGUAGAUAUCACUCGGAAGGCCAGAGGCGAAGGCGGCAUCCUGGGGCACAACUGACACUGAGGCACGAAAGCGUGGGGAGCAAACAGG
RNAcentral lists this unclassified non-coding RNA (253 nucleotides) under uncultured Planctomycetota bacterium. RNAcentral's name for it is "uncultured planctomycete contains 16S-23S intergenic spacer region". It matches the Rfam family "Bacterial small subunit ribosomal RNA", at positions 524 to 776 of the family's 1533-position model. The record is from RNAcentral. Lineage: Bacteria; Pseudomonadati; Planctomycetota.